This 784-nucleotide ribosomal RNA is filed under the name Phaenacantha bicolor. RNAcentral describes it as "SSU rRNA". It matches the Rfam family "Eukaryotic small subunit ribosomal RNA", at positions 284 to 978 of the family's 1831-position model. Lineage: Eukaryota; Metazoa; Arthropoda; Insecta; Hemiptera; Colobathristidae. The record is from RNAcentral.
CCGGUGACGUAUCCUUCAAAUGUCUGACUUAUCAGCUGUCGAUGGUAGACUCUGUGUCUACCAUGGCGCUCACGGGUGACGGGGAAUCAGGGUUCGAUUCCGGAGAGGGAGCCUGAGAAACGGCUACCACAUCCAAGGAAGGCAGCAGGCACGCAAAUUACCCACUCCCGGCACGGGGAGGUAGUGACAAAAAAUAACGAUACGGGACUCAUCCGAGGCCCCGUAAUCGGAAUGAGAACACCCUAAAUCCUUUAACGAGGAUCUAUUGGAGGGCAAGUCUGGUGCCAGCAGCCGCGGUAAUUCCAGCUCCAAUAGCGUAUAUUAAAGUUGUUGCGGUUAAAAAGCUCGUAGUUGGUUCUGCGUGCCACGCUGUCGGUUCACCGCCUGCCGGUGCAACUGGCAUGCCGUGGCAUGUCCUGUCGGUGGCGGAUAGGCUUCGCGGCGUGCCCUGCGCGGUAACCACCGUGUAGGCCGCCGCGCCGCGUUGUCCUUGUACGCCGGCUCAAUCCUACCGCGGUGCUCUUUACCGAGUGUCGAGGUAGGCCGACACUGUUUACUUUGAACAAAUUAGAGUGCUUAAAGCAGGCUCAUAAAUUAGCCUGAAUAGUGGUGCAUGGAAUAAUGGAAAAGGACCUUGGUUCUAUUUUGUUGGUUUCCGGAAUCCAAGGUAAUGAUCAAUAAGGACAGGCGGGGGCAUUAGUAUUGCGACGUUAGAGGUGAAAUUCUUGGAUCGUCGCAAGACGCACUAAAGCGAAAGCAUUUGCCAAGUAUGUCUUAAUUGAUC